Molecule: long non-coding RNA, 763 nt
Filed under: Rattus norvegicus (Norway rat)
Lineage: Eukaryota; Metazoa; Chordata; Mammalia; Rodentia; Muridae
Description: long non-coding RNA NONRATT016220
Source: RNAcentral
GGGAAACGUGCAGCCUUUGCUAACUUUGAUCCUUGCUCCCUUCUUCCUGGAAACUUGGACUACUGGACAUAUCCUGGCUCUCUGACCACUCCGCCCCUGCUGGAAUGUGUGACCUGGAUAGUGCUCAAGGAACCCAUUACUGUCAGCAGUGAGCAGGUUGGUUUUCUAGGGAGAGUUUUCUUUCAGUGGAGGCAGAAAAGCUGCUCUUCGCAGUCAGGUCUGGGAUUUAAUCCUCCUGUGAUGUCUUACCCUGUGGCUGGUGUCACAGAGUGCUUGGCAGUUAGUAAAGAUUUGCUGGUAUUCGUCAACACCUUCGGCAGUACUCAGAUAGGUUCCUAAUCUGUGAAAGUGUUGGUUAUUGUGAGGAUUAUAUGAGAAUGAUAUCUGCUUAUUAGCUUGUUCUUUUUUUAACAGGCAGGAGGAAAUAGAAGCUUUGAAAAAUGAGAUUUCAUGUUGAAAGUCACAUAGAUGUCAGUGAUAAGUCCCAGCCUCCUGCUCACUGACAUAAGAAUUUAGCUGUCACUUGUGAGUGUGAGAUGUACUUCUGAAUCCUGACAGUCCUCCUGACACUCUGAGCAUAAAGCUGAAAUGUGGGAAAUGGACAUUUCUCGAGAAUGACAAAAGGCAGAUAGAUCCCAGUAAUAUAAAAGACAGUUUUCAGUGACAAUUAUUUGAGUAUCUGUGUAACUUAAACCUGGAACUUUUUGGAAUCAUGAGCAUUCAGACCUGUAAAAUGCAAGAAAGUUCACAUUGCCAGAGUUUA